Molecule: ribosomal RNA, 253 nt
Filed under: uncultured bacterium
Lineage: Bacteria
Description: partial 16S ribosomal RNA
Rfam family: Bacterial small subunit ribosomal RNA
Source: RNAcentral
UACGGAGGGUGCAAGCGUUGUUCGGAAUCACUGGGCGUAAAGCGCGUGUAGGCGGUCAUCUAAGUCUGGUGUGAAAGCCCGGGGCUCACCCCCGGAAGUGCACUGGAGACUGAAUGGCUUGAGUACCGGAGAGGAGGGUGGAAUUCCUGGUGUAGCGGUGAAAUGCGUAGAUAUCAGGAGGAACACCGGUGGCGAAGGCGGCCCUCUGGACGGCUACUGACGCUGAGACGCGAAAGCGUGGGGAGCAAACAGG